Leptidea sinapis is the source of this 5296-nucleotide RNA transcript. It is a transcript of the gene named F-actin-uncapping protein LRRC16A, with no coding region annotated. The transcript is spliced from 29 exons. NCBI's taxonomy places the organism in Eukaryota, Metazoa, Arthropoda, Insecta, Lepidoptera, Pieridae. The record is from RefSeq and is a predicted model, not a curated record.
AUCUGUGGUUUUGCACAAUAGGGAUAGACUUGUAGAAAAAAUAAUGUUGACGAAAAUAAUUUAUAUUUUUUAGCUAAAUAAAUAUGUCUCAGUUUAUACUAUGAGCCAAAAAUGGAGUAGUUUUACUUGUAUCUAUAAACCGAAUCUAAUGGAGUGAUGACAUUGAAGAAUAUUGCAAAAAUGCCAACAAAAUCCCAAUUAUCUCAAGAAUUAACUGAAAGCAUUAUUAAUGUAUUGGGGAAAAAUGUUAAGGUAUUAUACAAGUCCUUGAUUCGGAUGGAAUCGAGGGGAGACAAAGUAGAUAAUAGAGUACUGGUCAUAACAUCAUAUAGAAUAUAUAUAACUACUACAAAGAUACCAACAAGGGUUGAUAAUGGAUUUCACUUAAUGGAAAUAGAGGCUCUCGAGAGCAAAAAAGCAAAUCAUGUAUCCAUAACACUGAUUCAUGAGCACAAGCCCGUUUCAAUUCUCAUUGGUGAAGAAGGAUCGUCAGAGGGCGUUAUAAAUACGGUUCACGCACUCGCUGCCGCAUUUGAUGACCUAUUUCCUAACGUAGCCAUGGAGGACAUCAUAUCCAAGGUGAAUCUACCGUUCCCUCUACAACCAGUAUGUGGCACAAGAAAGCAUUCGACUUGCGGUGAUUUCUCGAACCAGUACGCAGCGAUGUGCGACCUCUGUCAAACACCAUUUAGGGCUGAAGUAGCGUGGGACAUUGAUACUAUAUAUUUGGCCCAUGAUAUUCGGCUACUGCAUUUAAAAGAUUUUGAUCAUUUAGAUCAAAGGGAUCUAAUACCGCUGCUGAUAGCGCUGCAACACAACACGUGGUUCGCGGGCGUGUGCGGCGACGGCGUGCGGGCCGGUAGCGAGGCGUGGGAGGCGCUAUGCCGCGUGGUGCGGUGCGCCGCGCCGUCGCCGCGGCACCUCAGCUGGCGUGCGGCCGCCCUGCGUCCGGAGCACGCCGCCCGCCUGGGACACGCCUUGGCCCGGGCACACACGCCGCCCGCCAUGGACACGAUCGACCUGUCGCAGAACCACAUCGAGGACAAAGGAGCGACCAGCGUUCUGACAGGGCUGGGCAACAAUCUGAACGGUCUCCGACAGAUAGCGCUCUCUCAGUGUGGUAUCACCGGCAAGACGGUGACGCACUUGGCGGCCAUGCUGAACGACAACCCGGCCCAUCUGAACACAUUGACUCAUCUGGACCUCUCGCACAAUAACCUAAAAGAUGAUGUACAGAAUUUGUAUAAUUUCUUAGCUCAACCGAACGUUUUGACGCAUUUAAACUUAGUUAACACAGAAACAACUUUAGAAAAUAUGUGGGGCGCUCUACUUCGCGGUUGUGCCGCCCGAUUGUCAGUGUUGCAAGUGGGCAGAAAUCCCUGGGGGGUGGGGCGAAGGCCUAGAGAUCCACCGCCUUCGUUCCGUCAGUUCUUCACGUCCUGUCUUGCCCUCACAGAUCUUGAUUUCUCGUAUUGUAAAAUGCCACCUGAUGCCUUAAAGAGUUUGCUGCUUGGUCUGGCGUGCAACGAGAGUGCUACGGGCAUCAAACUGAACCUAUCGGGCUCGCUCACGUCCGCACAGGCCGCGCACGUACUCGAGUCUUGCGUGCACGGCGUGCGCUGUCUCAACUCGCUAGAUCUGUCGGAUAACAGUAUGGAGUUCGAGCUAUCCGGUAUUGUCAGAGCGGUAGGAAAAAAUCAUUCCAUUACGCAUUUAUCACUCAGCAAACUUACGGGGAAACGAUCGUACGCGCCCCCUUUAAUACAGGCUUUAGUGCACGUGCUGCAAGAACCAGAUACCGCGUUAACGUCGUUGGACCUUAGUGAUUGCAAGCUCAAGGGUGACCUAUACGGGCUCUUGAACGCCCUAGGCGGCGCACGACGUCUGCGCACGCUGGACGUGUGUGGCAACCUGGCGGGAGACGCGGGGGCGCGACUGCUGGCCAAGGCGCUGCAGUGUAACUGUACUCUGCACACGCUGUACCUCGACCGCAACGCGUUCAGCUUGCAAGGUCUCACGGAUAUAUCAAAUGCGCUGCGCCGCUCGGUGAGCGUAAGACGCGUAGAGUUCCCCGCAAACGACGCGGCAGCGGGUGGGCGUGGCGCCAGUGAGAGGGUCGCUGCGCUUUGGAGAGAUCUACACGAGCGUUUAUCAAGUAACAGCACGUCGUCUCAGAGUCACCGGCUGCGCGCGCUGGCCCUCGAGCGCGCGUGGUGCGGCGGCGAGGCGGCGGCCGCGCUUGCCGCCCAGGCCGCGCAGGCCCUGCCCCCCGCGCCGCUGGCCGCCGCGCUCGAGCGAGCCGCCGCCGCCGCGCACCUGCUGCUGCACCAGUACCUGCAGCGGUGCGCUGAGGUAUUCGCAGCGAUGGGCGGGGCCGGCGCCGGACUGGGCGUGGCCAGCGAGCCCGUGUCGCUGCAGGCCGUGCGGGACGCUCUCGCGCCCAGCGGCACCACGCUGCACGAACUGAUCAAUGAGGCGGUGGAGAGCCUCGCCCUGGCGGCGUGUGAGAGCGUGGACAGCGCAGACAGUGAGCGACUGUCGAGUGGAGAUACCGACGUACCUGACCUGCUCGCACCUGUCUCCAGAAAUACGAAACUGGAUUACUUAAAUUUGGCCACCCCGCUCGGAUGCCGGCGACGGGAGCGCGGCGCCAGGCGCGUGCGGCCCAAGUCCGUGGCGGAGCAGCAGUGCAGCAGUAACGAGAUGCUGUCGUUGCCGCCGCUGCACGCCGAGGCCGCAGACGCACUCGCCGAGUUACCCGCGCACACACUCCGACAUCUCGUCAAGGGCCGGCCGCGACGUGUAAAGACGAGAGCACCUACGCGCCCGAUAACCGACCAGUCCCUGGAUAUAGAUGAAGGUCUGGAGGAGUUCUGGCGCACUUGCCGCACGCCGCCCGGCAGCGAGGACGUGUCGUCUCUGUCGGCUCGCACGGCGCUCACCUCGCGCUCGCUGCACUCGCUGUCGUCGCUGGCGUCCGCCUCGCCCGCUUCUCCCGCCUCUCCCUCCGCGCUGCGACACUCCCCCACGCUGCGCAGAGACGACACCAUGUACAGCGUGACUUCAGGCGAAAGUACUCCUGUGUUAUUAGACUGCGAAGUAUCGCGAUGCAAGUCUUCCGACGACGUUGGCACCAAGGCUGCGCCAUCGACGCCGCCGCCCUCCAGAUCGUCUGAUAAUGUCAACGCUAUAGGCAACGGGUGCGUGCGUACAGCCGGCAAAGCGCGCCCGUGGUCUGUGGCCGGCGUCAAUGCAGACAACGCCGCCUGCACUACAGAAGGCGUGGAAGCGUGCGUUGGCGGCAGCAUCGUGGGCAUCACGCCGGGCGCCGCACUAACCAGUAACCAUCUUUCAGACGCUAUCCUAUACUAGCCGCUUUAUUCGUGCUAGGCUCAAUGUUACGAGAUCAUCCGUUAACUCCAGAGGAGGGCGAUGCUUGAAUCCCAGGAGCGAAUUGAUGAAGCAUGUGACGUCAUUAUCCAGCAGGGUUGCAACCCUGCGUCGCGUCGGUACGCUGUCACUCUGUCAGUAUUGCGAGCUCACCCAUGUGCCACGUAGUAGAAGUAGAGCUAUGCACUAUUUUAUCUUAUACCACACACUCGUUUAUACAUCUAUCUCCGUACUAGGGUACGUUAUUUUGACCACAGAUGAAAUUGCCAAACGACCGGUGUCUGUAAGUCCGACAACACUAGGUAUUCGUAUUCUGGCGGUGAAGAAAGGGGCGGUGACGAUUAUUGUCACGUGAUAUGGACGCUCACUAUCCCAGGGUGGACUUCAAUCGAAAAGAAUUUGUUAAAUCGACACAAAAUAUCUAUAUAGUUUAUUUCUUAAUGGAUUUAAACACAUUCGCAGCACAAUAAAACCUUGAUUUGUUGGUGUCGUUUGUCGAAUCGUUCAAAAAAUGAAUGAUAGGAAGGUAAUUUUAGAACUAAUUAAUUAUGGACGUCAAUUUUUUGAAACACCAAUUUCAUUAUUUCGACUCAUCGAAACCCUUAGGUUUAUGUAUUAAACUAAUGAUUUACAUUAUAACAUCUUAUUUACCAUACAGUAAUUUUGACAAUAUAAUAUCUAAAUAGAUUUAUUGAUUGAUAUAGGUUUGCAAAUAGAUCUUGAAAUUAUUUACCAUGAAGUAUUAAUUUUGCAAUACCAGGUCACCAUAGACAUUACUAAAUGAAUUUUUAUUGUAGAAUUAAGUAAUGUGAUUAAACUUUUAAUUUAGGUUCAUAUUUACUGUGAUUUUAUUUAAUGUUUAAUCAAUUAAUUUACGUUUCUAGUUUUAAAAAAAAAUCCAGUUUAUACUUCAUUGCAUUGCAUGAUUUAGUGACUUCGAAUAAAAUUUCAGAUUAAAAAUACUCCAUUCACAGGUCAUAUUAAUAGUGUUAUCAGUCUCCUUUGAUUUGUCACAGGGAUAAGAAUGUCUCCGCGGCGUUAUUUUUAAUCUUAAUUAUAUUCUGCUUUCUACAACAAAAACACAAUAGGUGAUAGAUAUGUCUUGGUUUUGACAAAUUCAUAUAUUGUUUUAUUCUCUUACUGCAAAAGUAACCUGAUGUUUGUUACAAAUAUAAUAAUUAUGUGUUUUAUUACUAUAAGAUAACAUAAUAUUAUAUUGUAAUGAACUUUGAAUAAAAUCUUCAUUGCAUUAUAUUGUCAACUGUCACCUAAUCAGCGCGAAUAUAAUGAAAUUUUUAUUUAAAUAUUACCUUUUAUUGUACUCAAUAAUAGUAAUAUUAAUUAUCAUCACAUUUAGAUUAGUGAUGUAUCGACAUUGUUAUUAUUCUCCUUAGUGAAAUAUUUUGUUAAUUUCUUAAUAUUAUUGUCGGUCUUACCUAGUCAUGUUUCAAGGCCUACGGAUUGCGCACAAUUUAUUGAAUUUUUGUUGAAAAUAAAAUUUUCCGUCUUCUACAUUCCGCAUAGUUUAAAAUUUAACGAAUUGGUGAUACUAAAGGAAGUUCAAAUAAACUCAAUAUUCAAUUGUAUGGUUAUUAUUGACUAGUUGGUAUCCACACCCCAUAAUGUUAAGUGUUCAAUAGAGUUUAAUAAGUAUGUAAAGUUCAUUUAUCUUCUAAAUAAGGCUGUCUUUUGAUGAGAUUUCGUAAUAAAUUUUUAAGUAGAGUAGUAUAAUUAUAUUGCUAAAUUAUUUCAUAGUAUUUUUAUAUUCAUUCCGGUCUAUUUGGUUUUAUCUAGCUCUUUGGUACCUACCAGACUGAUUUUAGGUACAUUUAUUUUAUGGUGCAAUUUAUGUCUAGAGCGUUGUGAUAACCUGAUUUUAAUUAUAUUAUAAUAAUAUUAUACAUAG